UGUUCUAGUACUCGACAUUCACUAUUGAAAGUUUUGAAGAGCUAAAGUUGAUGGCUUGUUGCGAAACCAUACCCGUCUCUCGAUGCUAUCAAUUAGACGCUGCCCAAAGCUCGAGUCUGUAUCGGGGGAGCUUGGAAACCUUGCUUCUCUAGAGUCCCUCACAAUUUCUUACUGCCUUGAGCUGCUAUUAUUGCCAAUGGAAUUGCAAAACCUCGCCUCUCUCCGUUCUCUGUGGAUUGAGGUGUGCAAUGGUCUCACGUCCUUGAGACUGCAAGGCUUGAGCUCUCUUCAACAUCUUACCAUUUUUGAUUGUCGAAGCCUAACGAGCUUGAUUGGAGGGCUGCAGCACCUCACUGCCUUUCAAGCCUUGUCGAUUAAGAUAUGUCCGGAGCUGGCUUCUUUAGCAGACGGUAUGCAACAACUCGUGUCAAUUCGACAACUUCGAAUGUGGGACUGUGAUAAGUUGACAUCCUUGCCGGAAGUGCUAAGACUCGCCACAACACUGCAAGAGCUACAAAUCCGCAAUUGGCCAAGUCUAACGGCUCUGCCAGAGUGGAUAGGAAACCUGCCCUUGCUUCAACGUUUGGAGAUUAGCUAUUGUCAUAAAUUGGCAUGUUUGCCAUCCAGAUUGCAACUUCUAACGAAUCUCCAACAUCAACAAAUCCAAGGUUGUCCCCAUUUAGAGAAGUGAUGCAAGAAGGAGAAAUGUGGGGAUUCGCACAAGAUAGCACACGUCCCACAUACCGAGAUUGGAUGGCCAUUCCUGAGAGGAGGUGAAGGGCGUGGACGUCUCUUGGAGUUGUAGACAAGAUGCAUCAAUACUCUCCUUCCUACCUCUUCCUCCCAUUAACAUUUAAACGCGAUCAUUUCAUCGAUGAAUGGGAGUGGGACUUGUGGAAAUGAGAUGGAGAAGGGGCCUAGCAGCACACAUGCCAACGUGCUACACUUGUGGAGGCUGAACAAGGCGGUUGGUCAUUGAACUGAAAAUCAGGCCAGUCUGCUUAUCAGGGUUAGAGUCAUGCUUAAGGAUGGAUGAGACAACGUUAAAUUUGCCUUUUUAGGCUGGUGGGGAAAGGAUCCUCAAACCGAACAGAGCUGUUGGCUAUUGAAAGCAGUGUGGAGAUUUUGUGAAUUGGUAGCGGCAAAGAGACUCUAUAAUGCUAUCGCUUGUACCUUUAGGAAGUGCAUUCCCGCUUUGGAGCCAAGAUCUAUUUUGAAUGAAAUGAGGUUGUGUUCUUGCUUCUUGGAAAUCUCAUGUGUAGAGUCCUAGUAUUUCUUUUAAUUGUAUUGCUGACUCUAUUGCAAAGGAAAAAGUUGAGGUUUGCUAAAUUUACAUGGCAGCCCUGCCAUCCACAUGCAGCCACAUGUCCCAUUGUUAGAACUGCUCUAAAAAUCAGGCUGCCAACAUACAAGACGAAUGGAUGGGUAGAAAAAUUUGUUUGAAUGGGCAGUUUACUGUAAACAUUGUGACCCACUUGAGGAGUGAAACUGCCUAUUUUUGAAGCACAGAUCAUCUAAGGGUGUCUUAGAAGUUUCCCAACUUCUAUUUAGAAUUUCUUUUUCUUUUUCUUUUUUUUUUUUUCAAUUCCAGUUCAGACGAAUUGUUGAAAAGAAUAGAACCUGUCUUACUUGUCCUCCCAAAUUGUGAAAUGGCCGUGUUUUGUGAUCUGAUUCAGUUGAAUUCAUCGUCUUGUUUUUUUCAUACUUCUUGUGUCUUGUGAGCUUGUGACCUGAUUCAAUUGAAUUCAUGGUCUUGUUUUUUCAUUCUUUUAGGAAAGAAUGAUUGUUUAAAAUAACAGUCAUUUGGGAUUUUUUUUUUGUAGGCAGUUGGAUUUUCAUACUCCUAGAAUUGUGAUUUGUGAUUUUUGUUUUUGCAUACCUAGUCUGGUAGAAUUUAUUGCCUUUGUUGUCGUUGUUUUUGCAUUUAUGAUAAAGCCCAUAUCAAUCUUAUUAUGUUCUCAGUAAAGACAAUUUAUUCUUCAUUUGGUAUCCCUAUCAAUUGAUGUUCGACAUGUAAUACUGAAAACAACAGAAACCAUUCACAAAUUCUCUUCUCAAAUCUAGAAUUGGAUUUUGUUUCUCACAACCUGAUUUUGUACGGAGCAUUUCCUUUGUUCUCAUUCUUUUACAUUUUCAAUAAACUAAAACCCUUAAUUUAAAGAGCAUCUCUUCAAUUAUCCUGCUUUAAUCAAGUGGGAAUUAGGUAAUUUGUGCUCAUUUGAAGCUGUCUGAGUAAUAGAGAGUAAUUCUAUUACUAGAAAGUGUUGAGAUGCGAAAGAACAUGAUUAAGAUAGUGAUGUUGGAGACUGCAUGUGAUAGGCAGAACACAUUCUCUAAACGACAAAAGGAGUCUUGAACAAUGUUAACUGUCGAUUCUAUGCGACAUAGAUAUUGUUCUUCUCAUGUUUACUCCUGGUGGAAAGCUGACCAUCUUUGUUGCAGAACAUUGGUAGUUUCUUCUUCCCAAAUCCUUUUUCGAAUGCUUAGAGUGGUAGCUGUGGUCUUGACUAGUUAUAGGGGAACAAAUUUCAGUGUUGUAGUUUUAGAUCUUUGGUUUCUACCAAUCAUCUAUCCAGACUUCACUAGUUUUCGAGGUUUCCUUUCAUUUUGAUUAUUUUGAUUUUUCACAACCUAUAUAUUUGUAUGUGUAAUAAGCACUCAUAUACUAGAAAUUUGCAGUGUUCGACACCCAUGUCAGUCACACGUUGACACUCCAUUUUCUUCUUACAUCUAGCAGUAUUUAUAUGCUUUUUGUUUAGGUCAUGGUUUAGCUAUUAGAAUCCAUUUUCUUGUUUCUUAUGAAUAUGGUUUUGGAAUCAAGAGGGAAUAUAUAUUAAUAAAAACAUACUCUAAUUGACACCCAUUAUUAACUACCAUGGCAGAGAAGUUUCUUAACUUUUUUGUAAAAAGUGUAAUGAGGAAAUAUCAUGCUCUCCUCCACAAAAAAGACAAUAUACACAUGUACAUGGUGAUAAUGGUGGGUGUCUAUCAGCUUGUGUUUUUAUUGGAAUAUAUGUUCUUGGUUCCAAACUGACCCUAAAUGAAGUAAUAUCUAAUAAAACAACUUUCAAUGUCAUUAUAUACCUGUACAGACAUGUCGGCAUGGUGGGUUUUCGAGGACCUUGUGUCCAUUUUCUUCUUUCCUCGCCUGAGAAAACACUGCCGUACAUGUCUGAAACAGGUAGACGCAUCUGUGCUCAUGUUGCAUUGUUGCAACAUUCUUGAUUGGUUAUCUUGUCUGCCCCUCUUUAAAUCCUGGAUUGUUUAAAAUGUGUAAGAUCUGUUCUAAUGGAAUGCUUUACUCUUUUAGGUUUGUCUUCUUUCAGUGAUUUGAUUAGUCCUUGAAAGAUAUUCGGGGAUAAGUCCUUGAGAAUGAAGAAAAAAGGUGAUAUGUUUAUCUGUUUGCAACAAGCAACGUGAUUACUCCUCCUUUGUUUGCCAAUGAAAUGCAUGAAUACUGAAAUCUUUUCAAUUACUUGCAACAGGAAUGACAUAAUUCUGCAAGAUCGGGAUUGUGAUUUGUUAACUGUAAGGAGUAGACGUGUGUGUGUUUUUUUUUUUUUUUGCUAUAGUCUGUUGCUUUUUAUAUUCUCUUAUGAUUCUUUGCCUAAUGCUAUGGUUGUGUAUCUCUUGACUACCAAUUUCUCCAGAAAUCAUUCAGAAGGCAGGUUCACAGGAUUGAUGUAAAAUCUUUUUCCAAUGAAAGGUACUCUUACAUUCAAUCACUAACCUAAGAGGCAUGCAUCUGCAGACACCUAAUACAUCAGUCUCAUGGAUAGUUUGAACACAUUCUAGUGAUCCAAUCACACUGACCUCCAAAUGAAUUUGUCUUCAGCUAGGAUCAGGUCUGUCAAUUCAUCAGGAGUCUAGGACACUUUCACCAAAGGGUAGACCUGAUGAAUGGAAAGGGUCUCAUACACAAAUGCCAUGCCGACACAUGUAGCUUGAAUUUUGUUGAAGAAACAACCAAGCUAUAAACUGGGCAUGCAGCUUAGGGUAGGGGAAAGGAGGAGAUGAUCAGGAGGGACCCCUGAACUAGUGUGGAUCUACAUGACAGUCCAUAGAUUUUACUCCUUGGCCAGUCAUUAUUUACAAAAUAUCAAAAGUUGAUGGUACGAGGAAUUCUAAGUGGACUUGCUCUUGUGUGGUAGAUGUAGGUUAUUUGUAGCACACAUGCCAAUUUAGGAUGUGUUAUAGACAUGGGCAUUCAUCUGGGGUUUCUAUAUCAAGCUGGGCUAGCCUUACAUCGGAGAGCGAGAGGGGAAACAUUCGUGGACCUCAGCAGAGAACAUUUCCCUGCAAACCAAAAAAUAGCAAGAAGUUUAUCACUCCUUUGUUAUAUUUAUGCCAGGAAAAAAAAAAAAAAAAAAAAGGAGGACGAGGUUCCCCUGUUUUCAGUGCAAGAAACGCACUAGUUCCCCUGGGAUAUCCCCUUCUGCAGUUCCUAAUCAUCGCAAUGUAAGGGAGCUUAAGUGAAUAUCGCAACUUUCUGAUGGCUCACUGAGAUGCUGCAUACUUGGUGGAAGUUUCAGAUACAGGUCGAAUAUCGUUCUCCAAUCCACCUAUUGAUGACCUAGCUACAAUUUUGUCCCUUCCAAGGAAGACCAUUCUAUGAACGGAUUUGGCCAAACUUCCAUCCAAUACAACAGCUUGGAUUAGAGAAGCCAGACCUGGUACCUCUCAUCCCUUCGAUCUUCAAGUAUUUGAAGGGGGAUACAAGUCGAAGUGAAGGUUUUCUCCGCAAUUGAGGAUCUGUGGUCCAUUCAUGGAUGGGGCUUACUUGACUGUAUGGUCAAAUGAGCAAGAUCACUACAAUGCUACCCUACCGUUGUGGGUGAUUCUAAAGAAGAUGGAGAAUCUGAGCUACCUGAUUUCAGCUACAUAGUCAGACUAUGAAGACCAGCAUCUGCUGGCACUUAUGUUUGUGGUUGAUUGUACAAAAAACAUGCGGAUAGUAGAAUCCUAGCUUUCCAAUUUUCUUUGUUGAAUGUGGACUAUUGGCUGAUUUUUGUCAUCGCCUGCUUGCUUGAAGGCUUUUACUUGGACGGAUAGGAUUGUCUAAUUGAUGUGAUAUUUAUACAGUUGCCUCUCACCAUAGGGCUUAUAAGAUUGACAUACCAGAUGAUCCACCCAUGAUCCAUGUGGGCCCAGUCAAGCAAUGGACCCUUAGGCAUAAGGCUGGCUCCAAAUUGAAAAUGAGUAAAUAGGCUUCUCAAAUUCUAUGUAAGGGUGGGCAAUCUCAUCUUCAAAAGGGAUUCUUCAGAUCAAGCUUGAUGUUCUUCACCACUUUCAAGUUCAUUAGUUGCUAGGCUUCACGAAUAGGGUUUUCAGAAGUGACGGUCACUUUACUAACUGUUUGUAGCUCUAUCCUUGUGUUGAGUUAGAAGGCCAAUGUAUAAUGGAUAUUUGAGUGUUGGAAGAAAGGUUGUAUUUAUUUUAGAAUGCAUGUAACAUGGAUCAGUAGCCUAACUGCUAUGCUGUUUUUACUGUGCUAUAUUGUAAGGAAUUGAUGAGCCAUUGUUUUUA
Magnolia sinica is the source of this 5526-nucleotide long non-coding RNA. RefSeq lists it as uncharacterized. The record is from RefSeq and is a predicted model, not a curated record. The transcript has 9 exons. NCBI's taxonomy places the organism in Eukaryota, Viridiplantae, Streptophyta, Magnoliopsida, Magnoliales, Magnoliaceae.